Rhododendron vialii is the source of this 616-nucleotide long non-coding RNA. RefSeq lists it as uncharacterized. The transcript is spliced from 2 exons. The record is from RefSeq and is a predicted model, not a curated record. Lineage: Eukaryota; Viridiplantae; Streptophyta; Magnoliopsida; Ericales; Ericaceae.
GAAGUUGAAAAUUCGGUGCAAUUGUGAAAUAUGUGAGUGUAUGGCAUGUGAUAGAUGUAUGUGUGGGUGUAGGAGAUAAUUUUCUCCUCAAUUAUAAUUCUCUCUUCUCUCUCACAGUAAACACAACACACACCCACGCCACUCUCUCAUCUCUCCCACGGCUUCUCUCUCUCUCUCUCUCUCUCUCUCUCUUCAAAUUUCUUCCCCAAAUCUCAAAUUAACCAAGGGAUCUUGGAGUAUUCUUCUCCUAGAGUCGAGUUCUAGCCGUUGAUCGCGUUGGAAAGCUCGGAGGAGGUGUUUUCGGGAGAGGUUUUGCCUGGAGAUUCUUGGGGUUUUAAUUUCAACGUUCGAGGUACUCGCCAUGGCACUUAGCUUGGAUUGCAUGGAGUGCACAUGGAGACGUCUCUUGGGAGCUUCGUUGGAAUUAUUAAGGAGUUGUUUAUCAACUAGUCUAAUUCACGUUGUGUACUUCACCUGCAAUUGAAUGUGGUAUCUUUUGGUUUGAGCAUAUGUAAAGCUAUGUAUAAACUCAUCUCUUUGAUUAUUGUGAAGCCCUUUUAAAUUGAAGACGUUUUGGAGACUUUACGUAAAAAAAAAAAAAAAAAUUUAGAGACAA